RNAcentral lists this long non-coding RNA (339 nucleotides) under Panax ginseng (ginseng). RNAcentral describes it as "long non-coding RNA (PGIN_LNC004173)". The record is from RNAcentral. Lineage: Eukaryota; Viridiplantae; Streptophyta; Magnoliopsida; Apiales; Araliaceae.
GGGAACUUUCAUUUAUAUCAUUUGAAUUGAAACGAUUACAUGGAUAAAAACAAGAACGACAUAACUAUUACUGGUAAAAUUUUCUAAGUCUUCCAGCAUGCCAUGUAUUCUUUACCUCCGAACCGUCCAUUGCUCGAAGCCGGUAGGUUCCUGGCUUCGGCACUCCUACCACCUCAUAAGGCCCCUCCCAGUUGGGCAUUAACUUGCCAGUGUUUUGGGGGGUUGAUGCCUCCGACUCCCGGAGGACCAAAUCUCCUAUUGCAAACCUCCUUAUCUUCACCUUCUGAUUAUAGUGUCGGGCUGUUCGCUGCUGAUAGAUCGCCAACCUCAUCACGGCGG